GCCCAAGUGCUUUCCCUCCCCAGACUAAAGCGGAAGUAAACAAAUCAAACAUGAGCUGAGACCGUAUUAUAACCGUGAUUGCAAAAACUGCUUGUUCAACUGUAGCUUUAGAUUGGGGUCGGUUCUGUUAAUAUCGGCUCAUAAAUACAUCCUAGAGGCAGCUGAAACAAACCGUCACCUUUAACCCACAGCGAAAACCAAGUAACAGUAAAAUCAAGUUGGCGCGUUUUGGAUGAAGAGCAAUAUUUGCUUACACUGACCAACAUAAUGGACUGUAGCACCGCUGACCUGCACGCUAACGUGGCACACGACUCUCCAGAUGAGAGCUCCAGCAGUGAUGAGGACUUGGUGCCUCUAUCAAAGCUGCUGAUGAGGCAACAGAGUGAUGAGAAGGAGUCAUGCGACAAUACCCGCAGCUUAUCCUCCAACUCCAAUAACAAAUCAAAAAAGGACAAAGCUUCAGAUGGCUCCUCGGAUGAUGAGCCGCUAGUAAAGAUGAAGACAAGCCUUGCACCACCUAAGAAACAAGAGAAAAAGGAAAACACACCACCCAAAUCUAACAGCACAAAUAACAAGAACACAGACGAAGACUCUGACAAUGAGCCUUUGAUAAAAAUUGCCAAAAUGUCCUUGAAAGCUGUGAAAAAACCUCCCUCAGUUCCAACCAAAAAAACUGCUGGUAGAAAGAAGAAAGAGUCACUGGGCAAGGACGACAGCUCCGAUGAUGAGCCUUUGAGUCAAGUUGCCAAGAAACCUCAAUCACGGCACAAGAAAAAAGCAGCUGCUGAAAAAGCAAGCCCGGUUACCAAAUCCAAAAGAAACGCUGCAAAGAAAAAGGUGAAAUAUACUGAGACGUCCACUGACAGUUCAGAUGAUGAGCCACUGGCAGCGGUAAAGAGGAAGUCAUCGAAACAUAAAGACAGCAGCUCAGAUGAUGAUGUGCCCCUUGUGGACCUCAUUCCCAAGAAAAGGAAGCCAGUGAAGAAAAGCCCAAAGAAGAGCACGGUAACACGAGGGCGAGCAUCAAACAAGAGAAAAGCAGAAGUCAGUGAUGAUAGCUCAGAUGAAGAACCCUUGAUUAAUCUUGUGAAAAAACCUCGUGCUAACAAAAAACCCAAAACAAAGGCUCCCACUCCGAAGAAGAAGAGCACACCUUCCAGGAGUCCAAGAAAGAAGCCAGGUAACAGUUCAGAUGACAAACCAUUGAAGGCAGCUAAGCAUCCACAAGUGACCAAAACCCUGACAAUCCUACUAGAGAGGUGUGAUGCUGGACAGGCUGGGGCAGCAGGAAGCCUAAAGAAAGCCAGCACAGAAAAACAUGUUGCUGAAAGGCCAGAGAAGGAGGACUCGGCCGGUUCAGAGGAAUCUUCAGAAGAAGAAUAAGUAAAUGAAACAAAUUUCUCAAAGCGUUGUGAAACAUAACGGUCACAGUUAGUGUUUAUGUAAAGUUCUUCACUGUGCUUUAUCUCAAUAGGUGUUAAUUUAUGCGCAUUCUAUUUUUACUCCAGAUUUUAGGUGUGGGACCAAAUUUUGUGGGUUCCUUAAAGAUUUUAUGCACUGUCUUUGAUGCUAUGUUUUUUAAUGUUACGUGCCAAUUGUUUGCAGUUUUUGAAUCCUAUGAGUUUAAUUUGUUUUUAAAAAAGAAGAAAACAGUGUAGCUCUCAUUGCUGUAAGUUACAUUUCAGCUUUCAGGCAUUUUAGCUUUAAGUACACCCUCAGCAUGCAGUUAUAAAAUUUGUUGUGUUGGAAUUAAAGUCCUUUCACAAAGAAAUUCACAUAAGAGUAAGUCACAUUUGUUCAGCUUUCAAUGAUUCUUUUUUUGUCAUUGUUUGUCAUGUUAAUAACCCACAUCACAGAGGACGCCUUUAGAUUUGUGCAGCCGUCCAUAUUGAUUUGUAUGCAUGGUAAUUACAAAAACACCACUUUUGUCUUAGUGAUUCUACAUUUCAGUUUGACCUAAUGAGGUUACCAAGUAGAGCUUUCUGUAUAGGUCUUACAUAUAGAGCUGGCAUUAUUCAUUAACCUUUUCUUGAUUGUAUUUUCUUGGCUAACUUGUCCUGUUAGAAUGUAGCACCUUCUAAAAGUAGAGCUGCAACUAAGUAAUUAGUGUUUUGUUUUUAGUGUUUGUUUCAGCGUUUUGAAUACUGUUGAAAACCUUGGUGGUUAAAAAAAGAAAAAUGGUUACUACAGUUACACAAUUUUCUUUUUCCAUAAGACAGUGUUAUAGGGUCUGCAACUAGUUAACUUUAUUAUUACUUUAAAAUGUCUUUAUAACAAAUAAAUGAAUAAUAAACACUGAAAAAGAUUUUAUAAUAUUUCCUAAAAUAAUAAAUAAAUUGUGAAAUUGCUUGUACAUAAUUUCUUCACAUUUUAAAAGGUGCAAUUAGAUCAUUUCUUGCCAUUUGUCAAAAAAAAAGCCCCAAACAAAACACAAUGAAAAACUACUAAUAACUACUAUUUAAAAUGGCAUAUUAUUUAAAUAAUUUUGUAAAAAUCUUUAUUAAUAAACACCCAAACACAAAUAAAUAAGGCAUGUUAUUAUGUAGCAGUUAAAAAAACAUUUUGAAGAAAAGUGGAGCAUUUAAGUAAUACACGGAAAUAAACAGAAAAUAAUAAUUGAAAUAACUUCUGUACCAUAAAGAGUUGCUAACUAGUUAUGUUGUGCGCAAAAGAAAAAUUUUAUUUUAGAUCUUUUUUAAAUGGUAGUCAAUAAACUUGAAAAUUACACAAAAAAUGAAUGUUACACUGGUGUCAUAUAUGAAAAUCUGUAGAAAAAAAUCACUAGUUUUUACUUAAACAAUAUGUAUUUACAUACUUUCAUCGAUUGUACAAAUGGCAACUUGAAAGUUGUUCAAGAAGGUAACAUUUCAAAAGAAAAGCAUCUCAAAUUUAUAUAUGUCCUUGCAAUGAAUUCUUAAGACAACAGAUAAAAAAAAUAACUAUGAUUCAGAUAUUAAAAACAUGUGCUCACCUUUUUUAUUUUAUUAGUGUGUUCAUGUGUUCAGUUUCGUCAAGGUUAUCAGAAAGGUAAAAUUUGGUCUGAUAAUGAAGGAAAUGAAAAUUUAAUAUUUAUACAACUGCUUGGCUUUAUUUAUCAAAAAAUAUUAUUCAUAAUUCUGGAAUAAUAAAUUACUCUUUCCAUUUUUUUAUGAAUGAUCUGUAAAACCUGAAAAAAAAAAUUGGGAAUAUGUAAAACCAUACAAGCAAUGAACAUUUACCAGAUUUUACAAUUAUGGUUAUCAGAAAAGACCUAUUGCUCUAUUUAUAUAUUUUUUUUAAAUAUUGUAACUGAUUUGUUAAAAUGUUUUUGGCUGUAUGUGCAAAUGAUUAUAUUUUCUUUUUGUACUAUUGUUCCUGUGUUUAGUCCGUUUUGUGCUUAAAUAUUAUUUUCAAUAAAAAUAUUGAAUUUCCCAGUUUUCAUUAAGUAAAGGUUUACUCAAAACAAAUGAAAAACAACAACAUCCAAGGUACAGAGUAUUUGCCAAAGGGAAACACUGUUAAAUAUAAACAUGUCCUUGUAUAAGAUAAUAAUAACUGACAAAUUACAUAAGAAGCACUUCUAAUAUAUUUUUUAAGAAAGUAAAAGUAAAAAAUGCAAAGAAAUACCAAUACAGUAAUUUAAAAAUAGAUUUUUUUUUAAAGUGUCAGGUAUCAAUUUAAUGGAAAUUUUCUUUACGAAAUAAUGCAAAAAACAAAAA
Long non-coding RNA from Oreochromis aureus, 3698 nucleotides. NCBI's taxonomy places the organism in Eukaryota, Metazoa, Chordata, Actinopteri, Cichliformes, Cichlidae. The record is from Ensembl.